CCUACGGGUGGCAGCAGUGGGGAAUAUUGGGCAAUGGGCGCAAGCCUGACCCAGCAACGCCGCGGGAAGGAAGAAGGCGUUCGGGUUGUAAACUUCUUUUGUCAGGGACGAAGCAAGUGACGGUACCUGACGAAUAAGCCACGGCUAACUAUGUGCCAGCAGCCGCGGUAAUACGUAGGCGGCAAGCGUUAUCCGGAUUUAUUGGGUGUAAAGGGCGUGUAGGCGGGAAUGCAAGUCAGAUGUGAAAACUAUGGGCUCAACCCAUAGCCUGCAUUUGAAACUGUAUUUCUUGAGUGCUGGAGAGGCAAUCGGAAUUCCGUGUGUAGCGGGGAAAUGCGUAGAUAUACGGAGGAACACCAGUGGCGAAGGCGGAUUGCUGGACAGUAACUGACGCUGAGGCGCGAAAGCGUGGGGAGCAAACAGGAUUAGAUACCCUUGUAGUC
RNAcentral lists this ribosomal RNA (443 nucleotides) under uncultured bacterium. Its description in RNAcentral is "partial 16S ribosomal RNA". It matches the Rfam family "Bacterial small subunit ribosomal RNA", at positions 338 to 795 of the family's 1533-position model. The record is from RNAcentral.